CCUACGGGAGGCAGCAGUGGGGAAUAUUGCGCAAUGGGCGAAAGCCUGAUGCAGCGACGCCGCGUGAGGGAUGAAGGUCUUCGGAUCGUAAACCUCUGUCAGCAGGGAAGAAGGCUCUCUGUGCUAUGCACUUGUGAAUUGACGGUACCUGCAAAGGAAGCACCGGCUAACUCCGUGCCAGCAGCCGCGGUAAUACGGCGGGUGCGAGCGUUAAUAGGAUUUACUGGGCGUAAAGCGCUCGUAGGCGGUAUGUCAACUCUAGGGUGAAAUCCCCGGGCUCAACGUGGGAACUGCCUUUGAAACUGGCAGGCUGGAGUGUGUGAGAGGAUGGUGGAAGUCCAGGUGUAGCGGUGAAAUCCGUAGAGAUCUGGAGGAACAUCAGUGGCGAAGGCGACUAACUGGAACAAAACUGACGCUGAGGAGCGAAAGCGUGGGUAGCAAACAGGAUUAGAUACCCGUGUAGUC
This 465-nucleotide ribosomal RNA is filed under the name uncultured bacterium. RNAcentral describes it as "partial 16S ribosomal RNA". It matches the Rfam family "Bacterial small subunit ribosomal RNA", at positions 338 to 795 of the family's 1533-position model. The record is from RNAcentral.